Mesocricetus auratus (golden hamster) is the source of this 718-nucleotide long non-coding RNA. RefSeq lists it as uncharacterized. NCBI's taxonomy places the organism in Eukaryota, Metazoa, Chordata, Mammalia, Rodentia, Cricetidae. The record is from RefSeq and is a predicted model, not a curated record. The transcript has 3 exons.
CUGCCUCUGCCUCCUGAGUGCUGGGGUUAAAGGCGUGGGCCACCACUGUCAGCAGUCUCUCUCUCUCUUAAAUGUUUAUUUAUUCUUCUUUCAUUAUUACAUCCUAACUACAAUCACCCCCCCCAUUCUCUCUGACCCUUCCCCCAACUUCCUAUCUCCCCCAGAUCCAAUUCUCUGUUUCCCUUCAUAAAAACACAGGCCUCCCAGGGAUAUCAACCAAACAUGGCGUAGCAAGUUCCAAUAAAGGCACACACCCUCAUAUCAAGGCUGCAUGAGGCAAACCAGCAGGAAGAAAAGGGUUCCAAAAGCAGGUCUCUGGGCUGUCCAGCGUCAGUUCCUGACCCUCCAAGCAGUGUCAAGUGUGGGCUCUCUCUUUAUCUGGAUUCCCUGAGCUCUACCUAAUGUUGGGCUGUGAGUCUGCAUCUGUUUCCACCACUUGCUGGAUGAAGCCUCUCUGAUGACAAUUGGGCUACACACCAAUCUAUGUGUAUAGCAGAAUAUAGUUAGGCAUCAUUACAUUGACAUUUUUAACCCACAGAAUCAACUAUUCUGGGCUCACGGGGGCCUCACAGAGAGUGAACUGACAACCAGGGAGCCUCUUGCUGGCUUUCAGGAUCCUACUCCUCAUACUGGGUCACUUUGCCCAGCCUUAGUCUUACUGCAACUUGGUAUGAUAUCCACGGGAGGCCUUCCCUUUCCUGAAAGAAGCAAAGCAGGA